This 1726-nucleotide small RNA is filed under the name Drosophila pseudoobscura pseudoobscura. RNAcentral's name for it is "GA31100". The record is from RNAcentral. Lineage: Eukaryota; Metazoa; Arthropoda; Insecta; Diptera; Drosophilidae.
UGCGUUGUGUAUUGAGGGUAGGUGAGCAAUUUCGAACAGUGCAUAACCAAUGAGCAUGCAUAUCAUAUUUUUGAGCUAUUAAAUUGCGACCUGUAGAUACACACUACAUACAUAUGUAUGAGCUUUUGAGCUUCUUACUGGUAUCCCUCAUUUCCAGCCUAUUCAUAGAGUGGGUUUGUUUGCUUUGAGUGGAGCACCAUUUAGACAAUUGAGUGAGGUGGUGAGUGGUGGCAAUCCACAGACUCCACUUGACCCCGUUCGAGUGCAUUUUUUGUUACCUUCGUUGAGUUCAGGCGACAGGAUAGCAGCAACUCAGACAGAGCCAAGCGGAACUGCCAAAAAUUCAACUCGUCAUGACCUCUCUCUGGCAUUAGCUCUACCUCUCUCUCUAUCUGCAUCUCUCUCACAUACAAUGGGCUUCUCUGAGUGAGUGCGAGAUGGCAAGACCUUAUGGGGUUCAGUGAGUGAGACGCCUGGAAGCAUGAAAAAAUCCUUGAACAUAUUGAUGAACCAGGAGUGCAGUAGUCAGAGCUGCAUCAUGAGUUUCAAAUAACUGGAAUAACUGCUGCCAAGUCAAAGUCAAUGGCACAUUAUCCGCAAUCGGAGCAGGGGAACCACUGCAGAGCAGCGCAGAGCAGAGGAACGGAACGGAACGGAUGGGCCAUGGACCGACCAUUAGAAGAGGCGGAUGAGGGAGGCACCGCAGCGGAGGAAGUGGCUCGAGUUGAGUCUGGCCUCUGCUUAGACAUUCCUUGCAGCUCCCUCAAGGCCGCACAGUAGGCCUUGCAAUUGAGCUUACUCAAAUGUUGGUAUAUGUAUGUGGCUUUAGUUUUGUUGAUGUUCCCGUUAAAAGUGUUGCAAAAUCAAACAAAAAUAUAUACAAUGUCGUAAGGUUUUCGAUUAUUUUAAAGUUCGCGUUGAAGGUACUUUCCCUUCUUUCCAAAAAUGAUUGGUUUCUUUGACCUGCGAACUCUCUUUGCUCCGCUGGAAUAUGGCGUGAGAAUAGCCUCGAGUCUGGUGUCGGCCGUUGGAAACUUUCUGCAGUGCAUGUGGCUGCCACCUUUGAGGCAUACAUAGUUCAUGUCUGUGGCAUACAUCUGCUCUUCUUCAAUCAAAUCUCCAGCAAACAUUUUUGAAAAACUAAAUUUUAAAAUUCAUGUUGCUAAAUUUGACGGAGCUUAGGUCAUUAGAUCACACAAUUCCAAAUAAACAUGUGAUCGUACAACUCACAGAAUAACGUAUAUUUUGAUUUACGCUCAAUCUACCAUCUCGUACCAUCUCUAUACAUAUUUGAUCACUUUUUCCUUAUGCCAUCCACGGUGCCCGUGAAGAAACCUUACUAAGGAGAGGCCAAGUGUUGGCCAGGUUGCAGAUGAAGCCAGACCUGGCCAAAGGAAUGCAAAGCCAACAGACGGACGACCGAAUGAAGAAGAUGUUAACCCACAGGCGGCGGAUGUGUCCAAGAAGCAGGGACCACGACCACGACCACGACCAGGACCCGGACCAGUCGUCCCCCCGAGGGUAGGGGUCUGGGGCUGGGACUGAGACUGAAGCCCAGAAGAAGCGUAAAGAGCAGCAAACAACAGCAGCAUAAGCAAAACGACCAACAACUAAGAGAUGAAGGAACGGAAGAGUACCAACGACAACGACCCUGGGAGCAAAUUCAAUGCAAUAAUACAAAAAAAACUUGCAGAAAAUAUAACUUGGACGCGCCGAUUUAUAUAUA